CCUACGGGUGGCUGCAGUGGGGAAUAUUGCACAAUGGGGGAAACCCUGAUGCAGCGACGCCGCGUGAGUGAAGAAGCGUUUCGGCGCGUAAAGCUCUGUCAGCGGGGAAGAAACACGGUUCGCGAGAACCACGGGCGGUACCCGACCAAGAAUCCCCGGCUAAAGACGUGCCAGCAGCCGCGGUAAUACGGAGGGGGCAAGCGUUAUGCGGAUUCACUGGGGGUAAAGGGAGCGUAGGCGGCGAGACAAGUCUGGAGUGAAAGGCCGGGGCCCAACCCCGGGACUGCACUGGAAACUGGCUGGCUAGAGUACAGGAGGGGGAAGUGGAAUUCCUAGUGUAGCGGUGAAAUGCGUAGAUAUUAGGAGGAACACCAGUGGCGAAGGCGGCUUACUGGACUGUAACUGACGUUGAGGCUCGAAAGCGUGGGGAGCAAACAGGAUUAGAUACCCGUGUAGUC
This 458-nucleotide ribosomal RNA is filed under the name uncultured bacterium. Its description in RNAcentral is "partial 16S ribosomal RNA". It matches the Rfam family "Bacterial small subunit ribosomal RNA", at positions 338 to 795 of the family's 1533-position model. The record is from RNAcentral.